GGCGCGUUGGCCGAGUGGCGAGGCACAGCUCUGCAAAAGCUGCUACACCGGUUCGAAUCCGGUACGCGCCUCCA
Molecule: transfer RNA, 74 nt
Filed under: Candidatus Saccharibacteria bacterium QS_5_54_17
Lineage: Bacteria; Candidatus Saccharimonadota
Also listed under: 1 other name
Description: tRNA-Cys
Rfam family: tRNA
About the family: Transfer RNA (tRNA) molecules are approximately 80 nucleotides in length.
Source: RNAcentral